Molecule: RNA transcript, 7683 nt
Organism: Aquila chrysaetos chrysaetos
Lineage: Eukaryota; Metazoa; Chordata; Aves; Accipitriformes; Accipitridae
Gene: SACK1B
Gene name: family with sequence similarity 83 member B
Exons: 6
Source: RefSeq, a predicted model, not a curated record
CCGCGGCGGCGGGUUUGGUGCGACACCGUCCUGACAUGUUGUAACUGGUUUCCACACCCACCGCGCCUGAGAGCGACGGGAAGUACCUGCGAUGAGCCCUGCGCCGCCUUGACUCGCCGCCGCGAUCGCAGCAGCCGGGUCGAGCCGCCCCGCCGCUCCGGAGAUACAUUUCAUCAGCUCACGAAUGGAAGUUUAAGAGACUUUAUACAAAAUAUAUGUGAAAAUGGAAACUUCAUCUUUGCUAUCAUCCUUACAUGAUGAAUGCAGAUCAGACAACUAUAUUGAACCUCACUACAAGGAAUGGUACCGAGUAGCUAUUGAUGCUCUAAUUGAAGGAGGUUUAGAAGCCUACAAAGAAUUUCUUUCCAAAGAGAGAUGCUCAGAAUUCCUAGCCGAUGAGGAAAUUGAUUAUAUUUUGAACAACGUUCACAAACUUCCCCAAAGCACAAUUUAUUCCUCUAACAAUGCCAUUGAUGACACCUCUUCCUCGGGAACAUACUGGCCUAUUGAAUCAGAUGUGGAAGCUCCAAAUCUUGACCUAGGUUGGCCCUACCUGAUGCCUGGAAUUUCUGGUGGCACAAAUAUUGAUCUGCUUUUUCAUCCACCACGAGCACAGCCUUACACCAUAAAGGAAACUAUUCGGAAGAUGAUACGAGAUGCAAGAAAGGUUAUUGCCAUCGUUAUGGAUAUGUUUACAGAUGUGGAUAUCUUUAGAGAAAUUGUGGAGGCAUCUGCUAGAGGGAUUGCAGUGUAUCUCCUGCUUGAUGAGUCGAACUUCAGUCACUUUCUGAAAAUGACGGAGAAACAAGGCUGUCAAGUUCAGAGGCUCAGGAACAUGAGGGUACGGACAGUAAAAGGACAAGAUUACUAUUCUAAAACAGGAGCAAAAUUCCAUGGAAAAAUGGAACAAAAAUUUAUUCUUGCUGACUGUAAGAAAGUCAUAUAUGGUUCUUACAGCUUUAUGUGGUCAUUUGAAAAAACCAACCUCAGUAUGGUUCAAGUUAUCACAGGACAGCUGGUUGAAUCCUUUGAUGAAGAGUUCAGGACACUGUACGCCCGUUCUUCUGUUCCUAGUUCAUUUGCCCCAGAAUUAGUGCGGGUAAACAGUCGCAGGACACUCUGGGAUAAUGAUACAUACCAACACUCAGUGUCUUCCUUGGCUUCAGUUUCUAGCCAAAGAAACCUUCUUGGUAGGCAAGACAAGCUUCACAAGAUAGAUCCUGUUUGUUGGAAAACUCAUGGAAGAUAUGCAGUAAAUGAAAUAGAUAAAUAUGGCUUGAGAAAUCAAGCCUAUAAUAAACAACCGUUUCAUCAAGGUUUUAAUAUGCAAAAUCCAAUGCAGCAGUAUCAACCUAGUGAAAAAAAUGAGCACUGGAAGAGACAUAGUUAUGCUGGGGAGAAGCCAGAAAGGACACCUUACCUAUUGCUCAACAGAGCUAUUAAUAGAGCCAACAAUCCAUCACAUACUUGGAAAAUGCCAUCUGAUAGCCUUAGUAUCGUUUCUUCAUUACGAGGAGGAUAUGCAAAUAACUACAGUACACCCCAGCAAAGUUUUGCCGAUCAGUUUUCACGACCAAAGGUAAAUCUUGCAGAAAGAAACUCAAUUGUACGGAGGUCUUUUAAUGGGACAGAUAAUCAUAUCCGCCAUCUGCAGCAGAGGAUGCCAACCCUCGAACACACAACUAAAUCGUUCCUACGUAACUGGCGAAUUAAGUCAUAUUUGAAUGAUCAAUCAGAUUAUCCAGUAGAGUCUAAUGGCUCAGCCUUGGGUGACAGAUAUGAUGGCUAUGACACAGCUGAAAAUAUUAAAACUCAUGCGCUGUAUUCUCAUUCUCGCUUACGAUCAUCAUUGGUGUUUCAGCCAACUUUACCUGAACAGCAGGAAGUAAGCAGCUGUGCAAGUUCUUCAAAUUCAACUAUAAUUGGGUCAGAGGGAAGUGCAACACCUAAAGGGACAUCUAAUCAUGCUCCAAGUGUGGAAAAUGGAACAGGUAAUAUUUUAGAAGAGCUUAGCACAAACGUCCCACUUAAAUCAGAUGCACCAAAAAACCACAGAAUUCAUAUUGCAGACAACACAAAACCUAGCGUAAAUUCAAAUGCAACCGGCGACUCAUCUCUCUACUUGUACACAACACUGUGUGCGGACAAACAUGCAGAAAAUUUGAAGAACCUUCAAAAUGAAAAUAUGCUAAAAAGGAGAAGUUUUCCCAUGUUUAAUUCAAAGUCCAUAUUAGACCCUGGUGCCAACAAACAUGCAUCCAGUUAUGUUUACAGCACAUUGACUAGGCAUAGACUUAAGGAGCCAGUUAGUCCAAAACUUCCAGAAGAUACACUGAAGAGCUCUAAAAGUUUGCACAGUGUGACCAACCACUUGCCACAGGAAGAAAAGAACCUCAAAGGGGAGCUAAAGAGCCCGACUGCUAGCAAGGCGAUCUCUAUGGCUGCUCUCUCUGAAGCUAGCAAAGAAGAGUCUUGUAAGGAUUGCACAUCAAAGAAAGAAAGUAAGAAUUCCCCAAGUUUUCUAAAGAAAGGAUCCCAGAAACUGCGGUCACUUCUUAAUCUCACCCCAGACAAGAAGGAAAAUUUGUCAAAAAACAAAGGUCCUGCCUUUUACAGAAUGUGUAGUAGUUCUGACACAUUGGUUUCUGAAGAAGAGAAUCAGAAACCAAAGAUUUCUGAGAAUAAGACAGAUUCUUCCCCAAGGAGAAAGAGAAACACAUCAUCGAAUUCUCAAGGUAGCUUGAACAGAAGUAAGGAAGAUGUCACCGGGAGCCCAACAAAGUCUCCAAAGUCUCCAAAGUCACCAAAACCUCAAAAACCUCCAUCUGAUGAAAGCAAUAAAAAGUGUCCUCUCUUGUGCCCCCUUGAAAGUAAGUUCAUAGAAACUGCAGGAGAUGCAUCUACCCCAAGAUUUAAUACAGAACAGAUUCAGUAUCAAGACGUAAAGGAAAUCACCACAAAUACUACUCCCGAAAGUGCCCCUCUUUCUGCUCUUCAAAGAGCAAGUUCAAUGACACCACAGCUGGCAAGCUCAAAACGCCAAGAGGAGCUAAGAUGUCGUUUGAGUGAAAGGCGUGUUUAUAGCCGCUUUGAGCCAUUCUGCAAGAUGGAAAAUGCUAACCAACCUGCAGGAAAUGCACCUAACAGCAGUUCACAUCUCUCAGAUAUCAAAAGCAAGACCUUAGGGAAUAAUUAUGGCAGGAGUAAUCACAUGGUCAGCUACAACUCAACUGCUUACCAUCCAUUGCAACCUAAUGAAAAUAAGCUGAGAGGAUUUAUGCAAAAGUUUGGGAACUUCCUACACAAAAACAAAUAAAACUUUUGUUGAUUAUGUUGAAAUACAGCAAGAGUAGCGAAGCUGAGCAUAAUCUUAACUGAACCAGACUGACGGGCAACUUUCGUAGAGCUUACUUGGGUUUCUUCCUGGGUCUAGGACAUUGAAAUGAAUGUACAUAUUUUUACAUACUUAUCCUAGAAUUGUGAUACUUAAGUCUUUACAGAAAUUCUGUGUCCAGAAGAUGUCUCAAGGGAGUUGUUUAUAGUGUUUAUAUUGUAAGAUUAAUUUUAUACAUUUUCCUUGUGAAGAAAGUACGUGCUAGCAUAUUGUAAGAUUAAGUGUGGAAAAAAAAAGAUGGAGGAUGUUUUUAAACUUCAAAUAAUACUGUUUCCAAAGAAUUGCCCUUUAAAAGUAGGAUAGCACUAGGAAUAGUGGCUUGCAUUUUUUCAGCAUUUAUGUACACAAAUGAUAAACACAAAUGUUAAUGUAUUGCAUGUUACUUAUCUUUAAACUAAUUUUUGAAAAUGUCUUUUAGGCUUCAUCUUGUUAAUAAUUUAGCCCAUAGCAUCUAUCGAACUGUUUGGGCAGCAGAUGGAUCUAUCUUACGUUAUUGAAUUUUCCAUGUAAUAUGAUAUUUUUCUGAAGUAUUUGGCACACAGAUCUUAAAGUGACCUUAAUCUGAGCUUCAACAGACUUGUUUACAUGGAUAAACUAGUGUGAAUGUAGAAUGAACGUUAAAAAAGCUAUUUAUAAAAAAGGUGCCUUGAACGUAACUUACAACUACUUUAAAUUUCAAUGGGUUAAUUACAUUUGUAUAACAUGCCAGUAUUCUGUAAUGUAUUCUAAAAAUAGCUUUUUGUUACAUUUUUCUAUUUGGUGUUUCCAAAAAAAAUUGUCUGUGGACUUCCAUUUCUCAGGUCUCUCCUCACAGAUCCCGCCUAGGAGUGUUGCUACAUUAAGGCCUGAUCCGAGGUUAAUUGAAAUGAAUGCAAAAGACCACCACGGACCUCAGUGGAAGUAGGAUCAGGCACUUAAUGUACUGACACCACUAUUUUAGGGAUGUUACAAGACCCAGUGCUGCUUGGGAAGCAUGAGGCUCUGACGCUACAGGAAGAGGAGCCCAAUGCCCUGCCUGCAGUUGCGGUUUUGAAGGUGGGGGAGCACACUGGGGAGCUCCACUGGUGGUGCAAGGACCAACUGUGACAUUGUUCCCUCCAGAAUUGUGUUAAAGGUGGGAAAACAGUGCUCACCCAGUCCUGUCUGAUUUGCCUCAUGUCUCUGUGGGAAACCAGCUGUUCACAAAAUAGAAAGGAAAAGUUUGGGGGGGGGGGGGGGGGGGGGGGGGGGCCGGGAGGGAAAGAUACCUGCAUCAGUGAAAAAAAAGGAUUUGCACAUUUCUGGAGGGAAAAAUAAAGUUUAUAUUUUUGCACUUCCUUUUCUCAAGCUUGUCUUGAUGUUUCUGCUUUUCCAAGGAGAUAUAUUUUGUUUAAUGUGUCCUAAAUGCGCUCUGCACCUUGCAAGCUUGUUCCACCCUGCACACACCCAACGCACUCCCAGUUUUGUAAGGCUGUGAAGUAAUAGCUGUUGCCGUGCGUGACGGUCAUUUGGCCAAAUGACUUGGGAGUUGUGAAACCCAUAAAAAAUUAUGUGUCAUUUCUACAUUAAAUAAAACUCCAUUAGCACCAUAAUAGAUUUAGGAGGGUGUCCGUGCAAAAGCUGAUCAGUUAUGCAAUGCUGAGCGUGGCCCUCAAGAGCACCGUCGGCAGUGGCGGGCAGUGCAGCUGGGACAUACAGGCUCCUCAUACGGUGCCCAUUCAAUUCAUGUCAUAAAUAAACCACCCCUACCUAAGGUCAUAAUACUCAGUCAAUCAAUUGCUUCAUUUCUUCAGCCUUGUAAUAAACAAUUUUUACCGCCUCAGAUUGCAAAAUGUUGGUUGUUCUCUUAUUGAUGUGCUUACACUGCACUCUUUAUUCAUGCUAACAAACAUGCACUAUAUGUAAUGAAAGGUUAAAAAUUAAGAAAUAUUAAAUUUCCAGCUGUCUAAUACAUGAGGGCAGUAGUAUUUGUUACAAACCUUGAGAGGAAAAAAAAAAUCUUAUCAGGCAAUAGAUGUUUGUGCAUCGAUAAGUGAAAAAGUACUAUUCAGAGAAAAAAAGUUUGAUCAUUUUUCAGCUUUCUGAAAUGUAUUAGGAAAUGUUGUUGUUUAUAAAAAAAGUCGUAAGAAAAAUAAUACCAAAAUCUGUUGCAAGACAAUGUAAAAAUAAAAUCGAAAAUGGCUCCACUAAGCUGUAUAAGAAUUUUUUAUUUUUUAAUUUGUAGCGUUAUGUGGGAUAAGCUGUACAACCAACAAGUAGCUUUGCAACUGUGUAAUGCAGAGAGAUCAGUAAGAUUACUGUGGUACUCACUGUGAUUUAUUCCCCAUACCAAGGUUGUACUGCACAGGACAGUAUCUGGGGUUUUUUUUAGUUUUCAUUUAAGGCAGGAGAGUUAGAGCAACAUAAAGCUGCAGUAAUUCAUGGGUAAUUGAGACGUUACUCCAAUUUUGUCUUUGCUUGCAUGAGUACAUAUUCCACUAGCAUUCCGGUGACAAGAGAGGAGACUGCAAUGCUCAAAAGGCCCUCUUGCCAUUUCAUUCUUUAUUUCAUACAGGUGCUUACAGAUGUCUUGGUACCUUUCUAUAGGGUCUGAAAUUUUUCAUCAUUUUCAACUCAAAACUAAGAGUUACAGUUAGGUCUCUCUUCUUCACAUUUUAACUGUUGCCAAAGAUGUGUUGCAUGUUCUGAGAACUGUUUUCUGUGCUGAGAAACAGGAUGGAAGAAAACAUUUGCUCUUGGACAGCUCAGAACAGAGCUGCUUUGCUGAUAAGCAAAGCUAGUAGUGCAGAUUUCUACUUUAGUGAUGUUGACUACUUAAGUUUUAAUCCCCUUAACCUCCUUCUUGCUUAGAGUGAUCCCCCCAGGUCAUAUUUAAAAGCAAUUGUCAUAGAUGUAACACUUUAAAAAGUGGUCAAGUCCUAUUUCUGAAAAGCCAGGGGGAUACAGGGGCCUACAUUCCCAAAUCAAUAUGUGUAUAUCUUGAAAAUAUCUUUGCAUAUUUCUGGAAGAGAAUCUGAUUUACUAAAAAUGACUGGAUAUGCCUUCAGAAGAAGCUUCUGUGAAGACUAUGCAUCUUUUUCCCACCACUUGUGUUACGCUAACUAAAAAUUCCAUGGGUAAGUGCAAAAAAUAGUUAGAGGGGGGAAAUAAUCACUUCUGAUAAGAGACCCAUGAAACAUGUUUAUUUUGAUAGUGUUGCUUCCAUAUGUAAAUACAGCUGGGAUAAAAAAUGCUUCUUUUCUCUCCAAAGCAGAUAAAAUUUAUGACAGUUGAAGUAGAAAUAUUUUUAAAGACUAUGCACCAGUGGUAAUAUUUUUUUGUGUUUGAGAAAUGAAUGCAACUCAUUUAUUAGCAUUCAACCACAGGACUCAUAUGUCAUUUGUACGUUGUCUCUUCUUGCCUCAUUUAACAAUCAGCGUGCUCAAAAUUCAGACUGUCUACAGCUUCCCAAGCCCUUGAAUAAUACUCUGAAGAACCGAUCCAACAAGGCAUUAAACACACACUUAGCUUUUUGAACUAGGCAGUCCCUGGAUAAAGCAUAACACCAAGCAUACAUGUUUGUUAGAUUUUGGUGUAAAAAAUCUCAGUGUAGUCCUAGCUGAUGUAUUUUGGAAGACUGCUGAAUAUAUGGUUUCAUUCUUUUCCUUGGGCCAUGUCUAAUUUUGACCCAUGGUGAUACCCUGUUUCAACACCAUGUCUAACAUGUUUCUUCCAAAUGUCACAUUAGCUGGUGUUAAAAUAUCAUUAUUCUGGUUUCAGAGUUUAGAUCAAUCUUCCUUAGUGCAGGAUCUGUGGAUCCCUGGUGAUCCAUAAGAUUUCAAAGGUGACAUGGAAGUGAAUUCAGAUGACUAAAAAAACACAACUAGACAAAACAGAAAAGCAUUUGCACAUAUUUCCGUGUACAGCAAAGGAAGCAAGUAAAAUCAGAAAACUCGUAAGUAAACAUUCAUAAUGUACUUUUUACCAGUUGAAAAUGAAAGCUGGUACACCAAUGCUGCAGGAAAAAAAAAAAAAGAAUAAUCAGGUGCUCUUUGAUUAAAAAAAGCUGAGAAACACUGCUCUAGAUGCUGUAAAACAAGUAUGAGGGGUGCUACAAAUACCCAAGGCCCAGAAUAGAUUUUACUGGGUAAUUUCGGGGGGUGGGGCAGGGAGGGAAUUCCAUCAAGUUGGUUUCAGUACUGAUGGAUGUAAAAGCCUGUGCUGGUUUCAUUUAAAAUUGUUACUUGAUAUGUAAAUCCUUUUUCUUAAGGUGGAAUUCCUGCAUUACAUAGCAGCUAUGUUAUGGAUAUACUGUGUAUGUACAGAUACAA